This 538-nucleotide ribosomal RNA is filed under the name uncultured soil bacterium. Its description in RNAcentral is "bacterial SSU rRNA". It matches the Rfam family "Bacterial small subunit ribosomal RNA", at positions 8 to 524 of the family's 1533-position model. The record is from RNAcentral.
AGAGUUUGAUCCUGGCUCAGAACGAACGCUGGCGGCGUGGAUAAGACAUGCAAGUCGAACGAGAUUUUUCGUUGUAGCAAUACGAUGGAAAAUUUAGUGGCGAACGGGUGCUUAACACGUGGGCAACCUGCCAUGAAGUGGGGGAUAGCUCGCCGAAAGGCGAAUUAAUACCGCAUGUGAUUAGAGAGGACAUCCUUUCGAAAUUAAAGUCGGGGCAACCUGACGCUUCUUGUGGGGCCCGCGGCCUAUCAGCUAGUUGGUGAGGUAACGGCUCACCAAGGCUUUGACGGGUAGCUGGUCUGAGAGGACGACCAGCCACACUGGGACUGAGACACGGCCCAGACACCUACGGGUGGCAGCAGUCGAGAAUUUUUGACAGUGGGGGAAACCCUGAUCGAGCGACGCCGCGUGGAGGAUGAAGGUCUUCGGAUUGUAAACUCCUGUCAUUGGGGAACAAGGUGCAUACGUUAACUGUGUGUGCAUUGAUAGUACCCGAAGAGGAAGAGACGGCUAACUCUGUGCCAGCAGCCGCGGUAAU